RNAcentral lists this long non-coding RNA (578 nucleotides) under Sus scrofa (pig). RNAcentral describes it as "lncRNA (ENSSSCG00030011783.1)". The record is from RNAcentral. Lineage: Eukaryota; Metazoa; Chordata; Mammalia; Artiodactyla; Suidae.
CAUCGUAUGUCAGUAUCCUUCUGUUGUGUGAGGAUGAGUUAAGUUCUAAAAUGACGAGUUGAGCAGCAUUCACCUCUCAUCAGACCUUGAGCCAGCUCCCCAACCAAAUCAAAUACAUGGGUCUUCACUGUCAUCUGAUUUGAAAAGGGACAGUCAGGAUUUCCAGGAUGGCUUCUGCACAUAUCUGCAGUUAGCAUAUUCAGAGCAAGCUGAUGCUUUGGCUCGACAGAAAGAGGUUUCCUUCCAGCUGCCUGCUGUGCUGCAGGGACUGUCGUACGGGGGACCCGUGCUGCGCAUUCUCUCUGUGCCUGAUGACACCUUAAUCAUGAUCAGAGAAGAUGGAGCCAUUUAUUUCUGGUCCCUGCAGCUGAAGUUGAAAAGAAGAAAGCGAGUUUUUGACAAGCCCAUCAUUCGGAAGCGCCGGUGGGUGACGGAUGCCACCAGCAUGCCACAGUACAACAAACUGAUCCUAGGAACUGGGUGAGUGCCUGCAGCUCUUCAACUGGGAAGUGAAUAAUUGUUGGGCUGUGAAAUUCGUUUCCAUGUGUGGGUUUACACACACACACACACACACACAC